This 64-nucleotide transfer RNA is filed under the name Mesocricetus auratus (golden hamster). It matches the Rfam family "tRNA". Rfam says of the family: Transfer RNA (tRNA) molecules are approximately 80 nucleotides in length. Their secondary structure includes four short double-helical elements and three loops (D, anti-codon, and T loops). Lineage: Eukaryota; Metazoa; Chordata; Mammalia; Rodentia; Cricetidae. The record is from Rfam by way of RNAcentral.
AAUGUAGCUUAGUGGUAGAGCACUUGCCUACCAUGCAGGAGGCCUGCAUUUAAUUCCCAGCAUU